UUUUUUGUGUUAAAGUUCUGGGUAUUCAUAUGUAUGUUGAGAUACAAGUCAAUUAGAGCAUAAUUUUUUUUUUUUCAUUUUCCGUCAUGGCGUUAAAGCUUGUGUUUUUAUGGCUGAUUAUGGUGAUACUACAGAGAAGGAGGAGGAAGAAGAAGAAUCAAGUUUGCUUGUGAGGCAGAGUAACAAGGUUAAGGUGAAAUGGUGAAUGAGUCUGCUACUCUAUCAAGUUACAACACUAUUUCAUAAUUUUACAAGGCUAGUGUCCAAGCAAGGCAUGUUGGCAUAACACGGGAAAUUCAUCCCUCACAACAAAUACAGGGAAAACUUCUGCAUGAAGCUCAAAAAAUAAAUAGAGCUAAGUUGUUGAGAAUACAAGAAGCUGCAGCCAAGCGUGUGAGAGCAGUUGCAUAGGCCCCGUCUCUUCAGCUCCUUAUAGUGCAUGACGGUGGGGAGUCGUGUUUUCUCUUUCUUGUCGUGCCCUCACUCCGCUACCGCGCACGGUCAUGGAAUUGUAAAUCCUAACUUUCUAAGAAAAUCGAUCUGAACUCAUAGGAACAGAAACGGGUGAGUUGAGCUCCGUAAAUCGGGCGACUGACUCAGUGAAAAUUUCUUCGUCAAAUCUUCGUUUCUUGUGCUCAGUUCCAUUAAUUCAGGUGAAAUUUACCCUAAACUUCAUCUGAAUCCGUUUCUUUUCCUUAUGACUAGUCAUUAAAUCAGGUGGUUUUAUGGAUUCUCGUCCUAAAUCCACUAUUUUUGAAUCUUUUAAGUCAAAUAUGUUAGGUUUCAAUAAAGAAAAUAAUUCUCAAGUAAUUCCAUCGAUUAAAUUACCAGAUGAUUUGUUUGAAGAAAGCAUUAACCUUUGGAUAUUUUCUCUUAUUGGAAGACUUAAUUUACAACAGACUAAAUGUGUUGAUGCUGCUGUUAUUCUUCGUCAACAAUGGAAAUUGACAGGUGACUGUAAACUCAUUCCAUUAGGAAGAAGUUUUUUCAUAAUUAAGUUGGAUAAUGAAACAGAUCGUCAAUAUAUCAAGGAAGGCAAAUAGGAAGUUCUUAAUCAGAUUUUAAAAAUAAGAAAAUGGAUCUCUAAUUUUCGUCCAGAAAUUCAGAAAACUUCAAAAGCUAUGGUAUGGGUUAGAUUACCAGGACUAGGUCUUGAAUUUUGGAGUGAAAAGAUUCUGUUUAAGAUUUGCAAGGAAAUUUGUACACCAAUCAAACUAGAUGAAGCUACAACUAAAUGUGAGGUUGGGUAUUAUGCAAAUGUGCUUGUUGAAGUUGAUUUUGCAAAUACUAUUCCUAACAAAGUUUGGAUUGGCACUAAAGAUGGUGGUUUUUUUCAGGAUAUCUCAAUUCCUGUACGUCCAAAGUUUUGCUCAACAUGUAAAAUAGUUGGGCAUUUUAUUACAGAAUGUAGGGUUGAGAGGAACAAGAUACAUCAAGCAAGUAAUGAUCAGAUUAAUAAUAAUAGCAAGCCUACAUCAACUCAUGUUCAGCACCAAACUCCUAAAGCUAAUAUUGAUCAUACUCCAUUUGA
This is a long non-coding RNA of Papaver somniferum (opium poppy), 1531 nucleotides long. RefSeq lists it as uncharacterized. Lineage: Eukaryota; Viridiplantae; Streptophyta; Magnoliopsida; Ranunculales; Papaveraceae. The record is from RefSeq and is a predicted model, not a curated record. The transcript is spliced from 4 exons.